This 70-nucleotide transfer RNA is filed under the name Marmota monax (woodchuck). RNAcentral describes it as "tRNA.Gly". The record is from RNAcentral. Lineage: Eukaryota; Metazoa; Chordata; Mammalia; Rodentia; Sciuridae.
UGGGGUGUCACUCAGUGGAGAGCACUUGCUUCCCAUGUCCAAGACCCUGGGUUCAAUCCCAGCACCGCAG